UCCUUUUAAAGAGGCAAGAUAAAGCUAGA
RNAcentral lists this non-coding RNA (29 nucleotides) under Mus musculus (house mouse). The record is from RNAcentral. Lineage: Eukaryota; Metazoa; Chordata; Mammalia; Rodentia; Muridae.